This 492-nucleotide ribosomal RNA is filed under the name uncultured bacterium. Its description in RNAcentral is "partial 16S ribosomal RNA". It matches the Rfam family "Bacterial small subunit ribosomal RNA", at positions 29 to 507 of the family's 1533-position model. The record is from RNAcentral.
AGUGAACGCUGGCGGUAGGCCUAACACAUGCAAGUCGAACGGCAGCACAGUAAGAGCUUGCUCUUACGGGUGGCGAGUGGCGGACGGGUGAGGAAUACAUCGGAAUCUACUUUUUCGUGGGGGAUAACGUAGGGAAACUUACGCUAAUACCGCAUACGACCUACGGGUGAAAGCAGGGGAUCUUCGGACCUUGCGCGAUUGAAUGAGCCGAUGUCGGAUUAGCUAGUUGGCGGGGUAAAGGCCCACCAAGGCGACGAUCCGUAGCUGGUCUGAGAGGAUGGGCAGCGCCAUGAGAACUGAGAGUCGGUCCAGACUCCGACGGGAGGCAGCAGUGGGGAAGAUUGGACAAUGGUCGAAGGCCGGAUCAAGCCAUACCGCGUGAAUGAAGAAGGCAUUCGAGUUGUAAAGCCCUUUUGUUGAAAAAGAAAUACGUCCGGCUAAUACCCCGGGGUGAUGACGGGACCCAGAGAAUAGGCCCGGGCUAGCUUCGUG